This is a long non-coding RNA of Hemicordylus capensis (graceful crag lizard), 1504 nucleotides long. RefSeq lists it as uncharacterized. The record is from RefSeq and is a predicted model, not a curated record. Lineage: Eukaryota; Metazoa; Chordata; Lepidosauria; Squamata; Cordylidae. The transcript is spliced from 2 exons.
CACACACAGUUCCAGCUUUCGCACGUGAUUCAAACAGCAGCACAGCAGCCAGUUCUCUCUUCACCUGCAGUAAGAGGAAGAUUCAGGGACGAUAUGGCUAUUAACCACGGCUAAAAAAAGGAAGUCUCUGUGCUUAGAAGCAACAUGCUUUGAUUACCAGAUGUGUGCAGAGUCAGUGUGCUGUAGUGGUUUGGGUGGUGGACUAGAUAGGAACAGAAAUCCCCACUCAGCCAUGAAGCUCAGUAGGCGACGUUGGCUCACUCAGUCUAAUGUACCUCACAGAAUGGUUGCAAGGGUAAGAUGGCAGUGAUGGAAGAGAACCAUGUAUGCUGCCCUGAGCUCCUCAGAAGAAGGGUAUACUUUUUAAGAAAAAUGUUAUGACCCCACAUCUCUCAUUCCAACAUGUGGAAAAAUAGAUUCACAUACAUUUUCUUUUUAGGAUGCUUUUCCCAGUUUGUCUCUAGAAGGGCCAAUUCCAUCACUGCAUACACCAAGUAUGGCAAAUCCAUUCCCUAAUAUGGCACUCCAGGCAGUGCCUGCAUAACCCAAAUCACACCCUGUGUGGCCAUCCAGAUGUUGCUUCCUUGUGUGGAGGUUCCUUAUAAGCAAUGCACUUUUAAAAUAAAAUUCCUUUCCCAUCCCUUUUAAGCCACUGCCAGCACCGAUUUACGACUCCAGGUAACUACUCCCCUUAAGCUCACUUGGCAUAUGGCUAUAGGUAUGGGAAUGGACUAAUUUAUAUGAUUUAUUUAACACAGAAAUAUACUUGUAAUGAUAUUUGUUGAAUCAAUAUUUGCAAGGUAAAGCAAGAUGGCAUUGUUUUUUACAGUGCUCCAAAUCAAGUUCCUAUGCAAAGGUAGCUAGACCUAGUAUCUUAAUUCACCCUCUGUUUCAAAGUGAAAGCCAAAUUACCCUAACCUCUUUGCCCACAGUGGCCACUCACUGAUGCUAGCUUAAAGGACCUGUUUUUGUAGGCCUCCGAAUGCAGACUUCAAAUGGAUUUCUGGGUCUCUGGUCUCCAAUCCUCACUUGGCUAUUCUGUCUGGACUGCAGGCCCUGACGCUUGCUUCCUCAUGCCAGCUAAGUUAAUUCAGCAAAAUCUUCCUCUUCCUAGACUUCCUCUGCCACAAGCUAUUCCUGCUUUCUUUGCAGUUCUCUUUCAGGUAAGUCUUCACCAGGCAGUAGAGAUCCAGCCCUUUUGAAGCUUCUCCUUAAGGAAGUCUGCCUCCCCAAAUCUCUCUGCCUCUGGCACCAUUCUCCAGCUUUCUUUCAAUGGAUUCAGCUCUGGCCUCGACACGAAGAAGAAGAAAAAAGUCAGUUGUGAAGCUGCCUUGUGGUACCAUGCCUUGUGGACAGAUUUGGAGUGACUGGCAAAUGAAGAGCAACCAACGAGAAUUGAUUGGGCAGAUGUAGGACUACAAGCUAAGCGGAGAGAAGGGGCACUAGAUGGAAUAGUGAAUGGCUCUAUGGAAGGAUUUGUUCCAUCACUCACCGAAUUGGAGAG